Molecule: microRNA precursor, 97 nt
Filed under: Marmota monax (woodchuck)
Lineage: Eukaryota; Metazoa; Chordata; Mammalia; Rodentia; Sciuridae
Source: RNAcentral
AGGGUAAUUUCUGGAUUUUAUGGUAAAUUUAACUUUUUAAGAAACUGACAAGCUACUCUUCAAAGAAGCUAUACCAUUUUACAUUCCCACCAGCACU